CAAUAGCGUAUAUUAAUGUUGUUGCAGUUAAAAAGCUCGUAGUUGGAUUUCUGCGCCGCGCAGCUCGGUCCGCCGCAAUGCGGUGCGACUGUGGCUGGAGCGUCGCAUCCUUGUGGAGACCUUUGAUGCCAUUGAUUUGGUGUUGAAUGGGAACCGCAUCGUUUACUGUGAAAAAAUUAGAGUGUUCAAAGCAGGCAUACGCCGUGAAUACAUUAGCAUGGAAUAAUAAGAUAGGACUUUGGUUCUAUUUUGUUGGUCGGAGGCCAAGGUAAUGAUUAAUAGGGAUAGUUGGGGGUAUUCAUAUUUAAUUGUCAGAGGUGAAAUUCUUGGAUUUAUGAAAGAUGAACUUAUGCGAAAGCAUUUACCAAGGAUGUUUUCAUUAA
RNAcentral lists this ribosomal RNA (383 nucleotides) under uncultured eukaryote. RNAcentral describes it as "partial 18S ribosomal RNA". It matches the Rfam family "Eukaryotic small subunit ribosomal RNA", at positions 592 to 976 of the family's 1831-position model. The record is from RNAcentral.